RNAcentral lists this ribosomal RNA (301 nucleotides) under uncultured bacterium. RNAcentral's name for it is "partial 16S ribosomal RNA". It matches the Rfam family "Bacterial small subunit ribosomal RNA", at positions 509 to 809 of the family's 1533-position model. The record is from RNAcentral.
CAGUCGCCACGGGAAUACGGAGGGCGCGAGCGUUACCCGGAUUUACUGGGCGUAAAGCGUGCGUAGGCGGUUGUGUAAGACAGGUGUGAAAUCCCCGGGCUUAACCUGGGAACUGCGCUUGUGACCGCACAGCUAGAGUAUGGCAGAGGGGGGUGGAAUUCCACGUGUAGCAGUGAAAUGCGUAGGGAUGUGGAGGAACACCGAUGGCGAAGGCAGCCCCCUGGGCCAAUACUGACGCUCAUGCACGAAAGCGUGGGGAGCAAACAGGAUUAGAUACCCCCGUAGUCCCUGUCUCUUAUAA